GGCAAGAUGGCCGAGUAUGGUUAUGGCGCCAGGUUAAGGUCACCUUAACACCUCAAUUCCUGGUGGAGCAAUCCUCCUGGGUUCAAAUCCCAGUCUUGUCA
This is a non-coding RNA of Beauveria bassiana ARSEF 2860, 101 nucleotides long. The record is from Rfam. NCBI's taxonomy places the organism in Eukaryota, Fungi, Ascomycota, Sordariomycetes, Hypocreales, Cordycipitaceae.